This 278-nucleotide ribosomal RNA is filed under the name Clostridioides difficile. RNAcentral's name for it is "partial 23S ribosomal RNA". It matches the Rfam family "Bacterial large subunit ribosomal RNA", at positions 248 to 528 of the family's 2925-position model. Lineage: Bacteria; Bacillati; Bacillota; Clostridia; Peptostreptococcales; Peptostreptococcaceae. The record is from RNAcentral.
GGCGAGCGAACGCGGAUUAGCCCAAACCAAUAAAGUUUUCUUUAUUGGGGUUGCGGACAUAUCAUAACGAAGAGGUAUCGUAAUUGAAGAGGUUUGGAAAGACCCACCACAGAAGGUAAUAGUCCUGGAUGUUAAACGAGAAGACUUUAGAUAUGAUCCAGAGUACCACGGGACACGUGAAACCCUGUGGGAAGCAGGAGGGACCACCCUCCAAGGCUAAAUACUACCUAGUGACCGAUAGCGUAUAGUACCGUGAGGGAAAGGUGAAAAGAACCCCG